Molecule: long non-coding RNA, 1394 nt
Organism: Acinonyx jubatus (cheetah)
Lineage: Eukaryota; Metazoa; Chordata; Mammalia; Carnivora; Felidae
Exons: 3
Source: RefSeq, a predicted model, not a curated record
UUUCUCUAACCCUCCAACGUUGUAUAUGCAAAUUAAGGGACCAUGGGAAAUUGGCCCUCGGCCCGCGCGACCUCUGCGCGCCUCCGGAGGGCGCGAGCCUCACACUCGGUCACGUGGCGCGCGCGGCCGCGCUCCUCUUCCCAGCCAUCUCAGCUGGGCCCCCAGGGGUCGCACGCGGGGUUCCACCGAAAACCGGGCGGCACGGUGUCCCCGAAACUACGCGGGGCGGCGCGUGCGCGGCGCCAGCACAUUUUGGGGGACAAGAGGCGGUGAUGCGCACGGGGGCCCCACAGAAAUCAGGUCGGGCCGUCCCCGCGGCAGGACCCGUGACCCUGGCGAGAGCUGGAAACGCCGGUCGUGCACCGGAAGGGGCCGGGCAGGGUGGCCCGGGGCCGCAGCGCGGAGGAGUGGUUCACGGUGCGCCGCUGCUUCCCCUGGGGUGGUCGGGCCCUGCGCCCUGUGCUUGAAGCCAAGGGCAAGGGGGUGAGCGUCCGCUUGGGGCCAACGCUUUCCAUAGUGUGACUCGAAGUGUGGCAGACCGGGAAAGGUCGCCAGGCUUUGGUCCAGCACUGGGCCGGGCCCCUUAGCUGACCCGUGUCCUUCCCCUCAAUUUCCACGUUAGAAAACAAGCUCUAGUUGGUUAAUCAAGGCCAAAAUUAGCCUGCCAGUCGUGAAAGAAGUUGGGAUUUGCAGGCAAGUCUGGUUUCAAAAACCGAUCUUUUCCUCUUCACAGUGGAACUCGAGCGAGGAAAGAUUUGGGACCAGGAGUGCGGCCUCCCCUUUUGGACAAUGCUCCCAAGGCCUUAUCGGCUCAGACUUUCCUUCCUGCCCUAGUUCCCUCACCACACAGCAAGCGUCUGUGACGUCAGCGCCGGGGCUGCAGGGCCAACAAGAAGUGGUUUGUGUUGCUGUGGCCGUUCGGUUCCAGCGAGGGAGCCAAGCAAACGUGGAAGAGCAUUCUCAGUGCUGAGAGGGACUAGAAGGGAAGAACGUGGGGUUUAGACAGUGACUGGGGAAUGAAGGUGGGCAGGAGGGAAGGGGACAUUUGAACUGUCGCUCCAUACGGAUGCAACCCUGAGAGGACCUGACAGACAGUGCCAGGCAGAAGAUGACCUGGGAGCUACCUGAGUCAAUGUCACCCAUCUGGGCAAGUCCUUCAGGCAGGAGAAGCCACUGUGGAGAGCUGGCCUUCUCUGAGCAAGACUUGCCCAUUCAGCAAGCACUUUUUGGCCUCCACCGUCUGAUGGAGUGGCAGAGAAUAAAAGAAAGAGAAGACAAUGAAGCCAAUGUAGCUGAGAAGGAGCAUUUCUGAAAUUGGAAGCUCUCCCCUAUACCAAACAUGCUAAUAGAGGAAGUGAAAAUUUGGCCUGAAAACUCCAGUUUGAAGAAGGCAA